RNAcentral lists this ribosomal RNA (467 nucleotides) under uncultured bacterium. RNAcentral's name for it is "partial 16S ribosomal RNA". It matches the Rfam family "Bacterial small subunit ribosomal RNA", at positions 28 to 507 of the family's 1533-position model. The record is from RNAcentral.
GACGAACGCUGGCGGCGUGCUUAACACAUGCAAGUCGAACGGAAAGGCCCUGCUUUUGUGGGGUGCUCGAGUGGCGAACGGGUGAGUAACACGUGAGUAACCUGCCCUUGACUUUGGGAUAACUUCAGGAAACUGGGGCUAAUACCGGAUAGGAGCUCCUGCUGCAUGGUGGGGGUUGGAAAGUUUCGGCGGUUGGGGAUGGACUCGCGGCUUAUCAGCUUGUUGGUGGGGUAGUGGCUUACCAAGGCUUUGACGGGUAGCCGGCCUGAGAGGGUGACCGGCCGCAUUGGUUGGGAGUUACGCCCGGGCCCCCUCCGGGAGGGAGGGGGGGGUAGUGGUGAAUGAGGGGUGGAGGCAUGCUGGAGCCACCCGCGCGGCGGGGAGGCGGCCUUCGGGCUGAUAGCCGCUUUCGCUUGGGAGGGAGGGUGAGGACGGUAAAUGGGAAAAAAGGCACCGGUAACUACCUG